Molecule: long non-coding RNA, 1502 nt
Filed under: Panax ginseng (ginseng)
Lineage: Eukaryota; Viridiplantae; Streptophyta; Magnoliopsida; Apiales; Araliaceae
Description: long non-coding RNA (PGIN_LNC016172)
Source: RNAcentral
UAACCCUUAUGGCCUUACCCUUACGCCUUAUGCCCUUAUUCUAGAUUUCAAUUUUCAGAUCUAGACUUCUACACUUCUACUGUACUGAUAAAAGUGAGAAGUGAAAGACAGGCGAAAUCGAGAGAGAGAGUGAGAGACAACGAUCGAUCGGCACUGCUACAGGUAGCUUCAACAGAGAGAGUGAGAGGCGAGAUCGAUCGACACUGCUACAGUUCGGUUCUUCCCUACAGGUAACUUCUUCUUCUCACCACUUCGAUCGAUUGACACUGCUAUGUUCUGUUUUUGUUUUUACUUUUUAGUUUGUUUAUGGUUUUCUACUACACUUCUGUUUUUGUUUUCAGUAUGUUUUCAGUUUGGGGUUACUAAAUUUCUUCAAUUUUGGUAAAACCCUGCAAUUUCGGCAAAGAAGAGAAGCAAUUUCUGCAAUUUCUUUUGUUGGGGUUACUAAAUUUCUGCAAUUUCUUAAUUUUGGGGUAUGGAUAUAACAAUAUUUUGCAUGUAUUUGUUGGCUCCUGCAAGUAUUCCAUUAUUUUCCUGAUUUUUAGUUACUUUGUUGACUAAGCUAUGAAAUAGUUAAUCACAGAAAGCUUAUGGAUUCAGGUUCUCUUUCAAUCAUGUAUCAAACUAUAUGUCAAGGUGGUCAUGGUUAGGAAUUAUUUUGUGGUUUUAUUUAAUCGAUCAACUCUUUUGCUUUCUUCUACUUUUGUUGACCCUAUUUCUGUGAUCAAUUAUUGUUUUUUCUCUUAAUUUAAUAUCUUAUAAUAUGAUUUCAUGCUUUUAGCUUCAUUUUUUUCCUUUUUUUUUGUUUGAAUAAUAAUUUAUUUUAUGAAGACAUUGAACUUGUUUCUACCUAUUCUUUUGUUUCAUCUGAUUACUAAGGGGAUAAGUUAAUCAAGAAGCUAUAUUUCUUAAUCUUACAAUCAUAUGGCUGCUGGGAUAGUGAUUGGAUCUGUACUAGGAUUUCUUUUGCUUGUUUUACUUGUCCUUGACUCCUUGUUUUGUGUAGAAAGAAAAGGAACAAGAAGACUAGUUCAGUUGAUGUUACUGCAAUUAAGCAUAAUCAACAAAUGGAUAAUGUUAUGUUUGGGACUGCUGAGAUUUGUUGAGAGCUUCUGCUGAACUUUUUCUUGAUCAGGCUCCCAUGUUUUCUUCUUAUUACAGCCCUAGUAGUCACAUGCUAAUGCUUAGUUUUUAGCUUUAUUUUGUUGAUUGUGGCUAAAUGGAUGAAUUAAGAUGGUCCAUACUCCAUAUAUAUAUAUGAGUUAAUGACACAUUUAUGAAUCUUUUUGUACAGGAUGUCAAGCUAUUCUUUGGAGCUUAUUUCUGUUGAUGCCUUGAUGGUGAAAUUAAUAGUCUUGCUGAGUGCCUGAGUUGCUGUCUUCAGUGUCUUGGAUGUGAAAUUUGAAUGUGUAUUACUGACUUACUGUACUUUAUGUCUUUAUCAUUUAUCAAUCAUUGUAUGUAAAUACUAAAUUGUAAUAUGUUACAACAACUAAACUUUC